Molecule: ribosomal RNA, 433 nt
Filed under: uncultured bacterium
Lineage: Bacteria
Description: partial 16S ribosomal RNA
Rfam family: Bacterial small subunit ribosomal RNA
Source: RNAcentral
AACGAACGCUGGCGGCAUGCCUAACACAUGCAAGUCGAACGAUCCCUUCGGGGAUAGUGGCGCACGGGUGCGUAACGCGUGGGAACCUGCCCUUAGGUUCGGAAUAACUCAGAGAAAUUUGAGCUAAUACCGGAUAAUGUCUUCGGACCAAAGAUUUAUCGCCUUUGGAUGGGCCCGCGUUGGAUUAGCUAGUUGGUGGGGUAAAGGCCUACCAAGGCGACGAUCCAUAGCUGGUCUGAGAGGAUGAUCAGCCACACUGGGACUGAGACACGGCCCAGACGGGAGGGAGAGGAGGAGGGGAGAAAAAAGGAAGAGGGGGAAAAAGACAGAGAAGGAAAGGGGGGGGGAGUGAUAAGGGGGUGGGGGUUGAAAAGCUCUUUGGACGGGGAGAAAAAUGACGGUACCGGGAGAAGAAGCCCCGGAUAACUCCGUG